GGGAAACUUUAUUGCUGAUGCCACCCGCCGCGAAACUGAAAUAAAAAACCCGAUGCGCAGGUCAUCGGGUUCAUUGCA
RNAcentral lists this small RNA (78 nucleotides) under Escherichia coli. Its description in RNAcentral is "C0465 RNA". It matches the Rfam family "C0465 RNA". From Rfam's summary of the family: This family consists of a number of bacterial RNA genes of 78 bases in length which are found between the tar and cheW genes in E. coli and Shigella flexneri. RNAcentral also lists the same sequence under 10 other names. Lineage: Bacteria; Pseudomonadati; Pseudomonadota; Gammaproteobacteria; Enterobacterales; Enterobacteriaceae. The record is from RNAcentral.